GUCUAUGGCCAUACCACCCUGAACACGCCUGAUCUCGUCUGAUCUCGGAAGCUAAGCAGGGUCGGGCCUGGUUAGUACUUGGAUGGGAGAAAUGUACUCAUUACCUGACUUAUGUAACUGUAACCC
Molecule: ribosomal RNA, 126 nt
Organism: Dipodomys ordii (Ord's kangaroo rat)
Lineage: Eukaryota; Metazoa; Chordata; Mammalia; Rodentia; Heteromyidae
Source: Ensembl